GCCCGCCUGGCGGCGCUGGUGUCGGCCGAGGCCGGACGGACGGCCGCCGGCUUCGCCGAGACGCUCAGUCGGCAGACGGACGAGCGCGCCGCCGCCGCCACCACCGACAUCUACCUCGAGGCGAGCUAUCUGCAGAAGUUCUGCUCGGACGCGCUCCGGCUGAUGACGCCAGUUCUGCAGAUGGCUGUGCUGCAGGACAGCUGAGACAGCAGCAGGCCGCGCCGACCGGCAGCCGGCACGAGGGGCCUUACCGGAGUGCAAUCGCGAUCCCGCGAGUCGUCGGCGGUCAAUUGGUGACAGGCGCGAUGCCAUGUGGUGGGAGCCAGCGCCACCAACUGACAGCGGGUGGCUUUCUAGCUUGGUUUUGCUCUUACCACACUGCGGGAUACAUCCACGGGCUGCUUUUGGUUUUGCCAGAAUAUUUCUAAUGAUGGGUUGUGCAACUGUGAAUUCCAGCAUACACUAGAUGCGUCGGACGCUAAAACGGUUGCGUCAAAAGGUAUAGCCGCGCAGGAUAUGCGAUAAGCCGUACAGCGCAGAUUCCACGUGACGUCACAAAGAUUAUGUGCUGGUCGAAUUGUCUUGACGUGGCUGGAGGCCGGACGGCGAAGCUUAUGUGAUUUUGCGCUGAAUGCGUAUUGUCUUCUGCUUUCUUUGAAGAUCUAAAACGGCGUAAUUUUUGGCGUCCCUGCACACGUAAUUACGUCCGAUGCACCUAGCAUGCGUCUGCCCGAAGUGUUUGUUGGCUUUGUUGUACUGCGUUGAAUUGCGCAAGGUUGAUGCUCGGGAAAUCUUGGCUUAUUGAUAUGAUGCGAUAUUCAGAUUACCUGGAGCGUUCAUUACUGAGGAGAUGACGGUGGUGCAGCCUCUGCGUCGACUGUGUGUGUGAUAUGCAUGUUGUUUAAGCUGCGCCUUUGCUUGCUUUUUUAAAACGUUUUGGAAACAAAUAUAUAUCAUGAUAAUG
Long non-coding RNA from Pollicipes pollicipes, 964 nucleotides. RefSeq lists it as uncharacterized. NCBI's taxonomy places the organism in Eukaryota, Metazoa, Arthropoda, Thecostraca, Pollicipedomorpha, Pollicipedidae. The transcript has 2 exons. The record is from RefSeq and is a predicted model, not a curated record.